GACUCCUACGGGAGGCAGCAGUGGGGAAUAUUGCACAAUGGGCGCAAGCCUGAUGCAGCCAUGCCGCGUGUAUGAAGAAGGCCUUCGGGUUGUAAAGUACUUUCAGCGGGGAGGAAGGUGAUGAGGUUAAUAACCUCAGCAAUUGACGUUACCCGCAGAAGAAGCACCGGCUAACUCCGUGCCAGCAGCCGCGGUAAUACGGAGGGUGCAAGCGUUAAUCGGAAUUACUGGGCGUAAAGCGCACGCAGGCGGUCUGUCAAGUCGGAUGUGAAAUCCCCGGGCUCAACCUGGGAACUGCAUUCGAAACUGGCAGGCUAGAGUCUUGUAGAGGGGGGUAGAAUUCCAGGUGUAGCGGUGAAAUGCGUAGAGAUCUGGAGGAAUACCGGUGGCGAAGGCGGCCCCCUGGACAAAGACUGACGCUCCAGUGCGAA
RNAcentral lists this ribosomal RNA (431 nucleotides) under Enterobacter ludwigii. RNAcentral describes it as "bacterial SSU rRNA". It matches the Rfam family "Bacterial small subunit ribosomal RNA", at positions 334 to 757 of the family's 1533-position model. Lineage: Bacteria; Pseudomonadati; Pseudomonadota; Gammaproteobacteria; Enterobacterales; Enterobacteriaceae. The record is from RNAcentral.